UAUAUGUUGGUAGAGGAGCAUUGUUAGCGGAACGAAGCCAUACCGGAAGGAGUGGUGGACUGCUAAGAAGAGAGAAUGCCGGAAUGAGUAGCGAGAUUGAAGUGAGAAUCUUCAAGGCCGAAUAUCUAAGGUUUCCAGGGUAAAGCUGAUCUGCCCUGGGUAAGUCGGGACCUAAGGCGAGGUCGAAAGACGUAGCCGAUGGACAACAGGUUGAAAUUCCUGUACUGCGAUAUAUCAGAAAUGUGGGGACACAGAAGGAAAGUGUGAGCCGGGAAAGGAAAGACCGGUGCAAGCACAGGAGGAGAGAUACAGGCAAAUCCGUAUUUCAAUCCAAUGGUGUUACGCGGAGCGAACAAAAGUAGCGAAGCACACAGACCAUCUGUCGAGAAAAGCCGCUAUUGUGUAUACCGUACCCGUACCGUAAACCGACACAGGUGGAUGAGGAGAGAGUCCUAAGGCCGGCGGGAGAAGCAUUGUUAAGGAACUCGGCAAAAUGACCCCGUAACUUCGGGAGAAGGGGUGCUCACGCAAGUGAGCCGCAGAGAACUGGCCCAAGCAACUGUUUAGCAAAAACACAGGUCUAUGCAAAACCGAAAGGUGAGGUAUAUGGGCUGACGCCUGCCCGGUGCUGGAAGGUUAAGAGGAGAUGUUAGAGCAAUCGAAGCAUUGAAUUUAAGCCCCAGUAAACGGCGGCCGUAACUAUAACGGUCCUAAGGUAGCGAAAUUCCUUGUCGGGUAAGUUCCGACCCGCACGAAAGGCGUAAUGAUUUGGGCACUGUCUCGACAAUGCACCCGGUGAAAUUGAAAUACCAGUGAAGAUGCUGGUUACCUGCGCCAGGACGGAAAGACCCCAUGGAGCUUUACUCUAGCUUGAUACUGGGAUUCGGUAUUGCAUGUACAGGAUAGGUGGGAGACGAAGAGGUGAUGACGCCAGUUGUCACGGAGUCGAUGUUGGGAUACCACCCCUGCAGUACUGGGUUUCUAACCUGCGGCCGUGACCCGGCCGGGGGACAAUGUCUGGUGGGGAGUUUGACUGGGGCGGUCGCCUCCGAAAGGGUAUCGGAGGCGCUCAAAGGUUCCCUCAGAAUGGUUGGAAACCAUUCGAAGAGUGCAAAGGCAGAAGGGAGCUUGACUGCGACACCGACGGGUGGAGCAGGUACGAAAGUAGGACUUAGUGAUCCGGUGGUAUGAAAGUGGGAUUGCCAUCGCUCAACGGAUAAAAGCUACCCUGGGAUAACAGGCUUAUCACUCCCAAGAGUUCACAUCGACUGAGUGGUUUGGCACCUCGAUGUCGGCUCAUCGCAUCCUGGGGCUGUAGUAGGUCCCAAGGGUUGGGCUGUUCGCCCAUUAAAGCGGUACGCGAGCUGGGUUCAGAACGUCGUGAGACAGUUCGGUCCCUAUCCGGCGUGGGCGCAGGAUAUCUGAGAGGAGCUGUCCUUAGUACGAGAGGACCGGGAUGGACUGACCUCUGGUGCAUCGGUUGAGCCACCAGGCUCAUGGCCGAGUAGCCAAGUCGGGACGGGAUAAACGCUGAAGGCAUCUAAGCGUGAAGCCCCCCUCAAGAUGAGAUAUCCCAUAGAGUUAAUCUAGUAAGACCCCUUGAAGACGACGAGGUAGAUAGGCAGAAGGUGGAAGUGUGGUGACAUAUGGAGCUGAUCUGUACUAAUAGGUCGAGGGCUUAACU
RNAcentral lists this ribosomal RNA (1684 nucleotides) under metagenome. RNAcentral's name for it is "bacterial LSU rRNA". It matches the Rfam family "Bacterial large subunit ribosomal RNA", at positions 1219 to 2925 of the family's 2925-position model. The record is from RNAcentral.